UACGUAGGGCGCAAGCGUUGUCCGGAAUUAUUGGGCGUAAAGAGCUCGUAGGCGGUUUGUCGCGUCUGCCGUGAAAGUCCGGGGCUCAACUCCGGAUCUGCGGUGGGUACGGGCAGACUAGAGUGAUGUAGGGGAGACUGGAAUUCCUGGUGUAGCGGUGAAAUGCGCAGAUAUCAGGAGGAACACCGGUGGCGAAGGCGGGUCUCUGGGCCGUAACUGACGCUGAGGAGCGAAAGCGUGGGGAGCGAACAGG
RNAcentral lists this ribosomal RNA (253 nucleotides) under uncultured bacterium. RNAcentral's name for it is "partial 16S ribosomal RNA". It matches the Rfam family "Bacterial small subunit ribosomal RNA", at positions 524 to 776 of the family's 1533-position model. The record is from RNAcentral.